RNAcentral lists this ribosomal RNA (1408 nucleotides) under uncultured Rhizaria. Its description in RNAcentral is "SSU rRNA". It matches the Rfam family "Eukaryotic small subunit ribosomal RNA", at positions 384 to 1804 of the family's 1831-position model. The record is from RNAcentral.
CGGAGAGGGAGCAUGAGAAACGGCUACCACUUCUAAGGAAGGCAGCAGGCGCGCAAAUUACCCAAUCCUGACUCAGGGAGGUAGUGACAAGAAAUAACAAUAAACCGGCUUAUGCCGGUUUAAUUGGAAUGAGUACAAUUUAAACAUCUUAACGAGGAACAAUUGGAGGGCAAGUCUGGUGCCAGCAGCCGCGGUAAUUCCAGCUCCAAUAGCGUAUACUAAAGUUGUUGCAGUUAAAAAGCUCGUAGUUGGAUUUCUGCGGGGACGGAGCGGCCGGUCGCAACUUGCGACUCGAGCUAGCGCUUUCCCCGCAUCCUGCCGCGAACCGUGCUACCAUUAGCUUGGUGGCGCUGGGGAUCGGCUCGAUUACUUUGAGAAAAAUAGAGUGUUCAAAGCAGGCCACACGCCUUGAAUAAGUUAGCAUGGAAUAAUGACUAAGGACUUCGGUUCUAUUUUGUUGGUGUUCGGGACUGAAGUAAUGAUUGAUAGGGACAGUUGGGGCGGUCUGUAUUCCAAAGCGAGAGGUGAAAUUCUUAGACCUUCGGAAGACAAACAGCUGCGAAAGCGUUCCGCAAGGAUGUUCCCUUUGAUCAAGAACGAAAGUUGGGGGAUCGAAGACGAUCAGAUACCGUCGUAGUCUCAACUAUAAACUAUACCAGCUAGGGAUCGGUCAACGUUUAAUCAUUCGACUUGAUCGGCACCUUAUGAGAAAUCAAAGCAUCUGGGUUCCGGGGGGAGUAUGGUCGCAAGGCUGAAACUUAAAGGAAUUGACGGAAGGGCACCACCAGCCGUGGAGCCUGUGGCUUAAUUUGACUCAACACGGGAAAACUUACCAGGUCCAGACAUAGUAAGGAUUGACAGAUUGAUAGCUCUUUCUUGAUUCUGUGGGUGGUGGUGCAUGGCCGUUCUUAGUUGGUGGAGUGAUUUGUCUGGUUAAUUCCGUUAACGAACGAGACCCCAGCCUGCUAAAUAGCGCGGCUGAGCUUUGCUCGGUGCGAGCUUCUUAGAGGGACUAUGAUGCGCGAUAGCACAUGGAAGUUUGGGGCAAUAACAGGUCUGUGAUGCCCUUAGAUGUUCUGGGCCGCACACGGGCUGCACUGGCGCCUGCAACGAGCAUAUCAGCUGGCCCGAGAGGGUCUUGGCUAAUCUUUUGAACCGGCGCCGUGCUUGGGAUUGACCAUUGCAAUUGUUGGUCAUGCAACGAGGAAUGCCUUGUAAACGCGAGUCAUCAGCUCGCAUUGAAUACGUCCCUGCCCUUUGUACACACCGCCCGUCGCUCCUACCGAUGAAUGUUCCGAUGAAAUUUUCGGAGAGCGCCAGAGAACGGGGCUCCGCCUUGCAGAUCUGGAGGCUCAAAGUCACUUAAAUCUGAACAUUUCGAGGAAGGAGAAGUCGUAACAGGGUAACC